GAUGAACGCUGGCGGCGUGCUUAACACAUGCAAGUCGAACGGAAAAGCCCUGCUUUCUUGGGGUUCCCGAGGCGCGAGCGGGUGUAUAACAUGUGAGUAACCCGCCCUUGACUGGGGGAUAACUUGAGAAAACCGGGGAUAACACCGGAUAGGAGCUCCUGCUGCAGGGUGGGGGUUGGAAAGUUUCGGCGGUUGGGGAUGGACUCGCGGCUUACCAGCUUGUUGGUGGGGUAGUGGCUAACCAAGGCUUUGACGGGUAGCCGGCCUGAGAGGGUGACCGGCCACAUUGGGACUGAGAUACGGCCCAGACUCCUACGGGAGGCAGCAGUGGGGAAUAUUGCACAAUGGGCGGAAGCCUGAUGCAGCAACGCCGCGUGCGGGAUGACGGCCUUCGGGUUGUAAACCGCUUUCAGCUGUGACGAAGCGUGAGUGACGGUACCGGCAGAAGAAGCACCGGCUAACUACGUG
This 468-nucleotide ribosomal RNA is filed under the name uncultured bacterium. RNAcentral's name for it is "partial 16S ribosomal RNA". It matches the Rfam family "Bacterial small subunit ribosomal RNA", at positions 28 to 507 of the family's 1533-position model. The record is from RNAcentral.